Molecule: ribosomal RNA, 494 nt
Filed under: uncultured bacterium
Lineage: Bacteria
Description: bacterial SSU rRNA
Rfam family: Bacterial small subunit ribosomal RNA
Source: RNAcentral
CUGGCGGCAGGCCUAACACAUGCAAGUCGAACGGUAACAGGAAGCAGCUUGCUGCUUGCUGACGAGUGGCGGACGGGUGAGUAAUGUCUGGGAAACUGCCUGAUGGAGGGGGAGUAACUAACUGGAAACGGUAGCUAGUACCGCAUAACGUCGCAAGACCAAAGAGGGGGACCUUCGGGCCUCUUGCCAUCAGAUGUGCCCAGAUGGGAUUAGCUUGUUGGUGGGGUAACGGCUCACCAAGGCGACGAUCCCUAGCUGGUCUGAGAGGAUGACCAGCCACACUGGAACUGAGACACGGUCCAGACUCCUACGGGAGGCAGCAGUGGGGAAUAUUGCACAAUGGGCGCAAGCCUGAUGCAGCCAUGCCGCGUGUAUGAAGAAGGCCUUCGGGUUGUAAAGUACUUUCAGCGGGGAGGAAGGUGUUGUGGUUAAUAACCACAGCAAUUGACGUUACCCGCAGAAGAAGCACCGGCUAACUCCGUGCCAGCAGCGGC